This 513-nucleotide ribosomal RNA is filed under the name uncultured bacterium. RNAcentral describes it as "bacterial SSU rRNA". It matches the Rfam family "Bacterial small subunit ribosomal RNA", at positions 36 to 518 of the family's 1533-position model. The record is from RNAcentral.
CUGGCGGCGUGCCUAAUACAUGCAAGUCGAACGGCUUUUCUAUGGAAGCUUGCUUCCACUGAGAAGAUAGUGGCGAACGGGUGAGGUAACACGUGGGUAACCUGCCCAUAAGAGGGGGGAUAACGAUCCGGAAACGGGUGCUAAUACCGCAUAGUUUUCUUGAUCGCAUGAUUGAGAAAGGAAAGACGGCCUUUGUGCUGUCGCUUAUGGAUGGACCCGCGGCGUAUUAGUUAGUUGGUGAGGUAACGGCUCACCAAGACGAUGAUACGUAGCCGACCUGAGAGGGUGAUCGGCCACAUUGGGACUGAGACACGGCCCAAACUCCUACGGGAGGCAGCAGUAGGGAAUCUUCCGCAAUGGACGAAAGUCUGACGGAGCAACGCCGCGUGAGUGAAGAAAGGGUUUUCGGAUCGUAAAACUCUGUUGUCAGAGAAGAACAAGUUGGAGAGUAACUGCUCCAGCCUUGACGGUAUCUGACCAGAAAGCCACGGCUAACUACGUGCCAGCCGCUGC